CAUGCAAGUCGAGGGGAAACGACAUCGAAAGCUUGCUUUUGAUGGGCGUCGACCGGCGCACGGGUGAGUAACGCGUAUCCAACCUGCCCAUCACUUGGGGAUAACCUUGCGAAAGUAAGACUAAUACCCAAUGAUAUCUCUAGAAGGCAUCUGAAAGAGAUUAAAGAUUUAUCGGUGAUGGAUGGGGAUGCGUCUGAUUAGCUUGUUGGCGGGGUAACGGCCCACCAAAGCAACGAUCAGUAGGGGUUCUGAGAGGAAGGUCCCCCACAUUGGAACUGAGACACGGUCCAAACUCCUACGGGAGGCAGCAGUGAGGAAUAUUGGUCAAUGGACGAGAGUCUGAACCAGCCAAGUAGCGUGCAGGAUGACGGCCCUAUGGGUUGUAAACUGCUUUUAUAAGGGAAUAAAGUGAGUCUCGUGAGACUUUUUGCAUGUACCUUAUGAAUAAGGACCGGCUAAUUCCGUGCCAGCAGCCGCGGUAAUACGGAAGGUCCGGGCGUUAUCCGGAUUUAUUGGGUUUAAAGGGAGCGUAGGCCGGAGAUUAAGCGUGUUGUGAAAUGUAGACGCUCAACAUCUGCACUGCAGCGCGAACUGGUUUCCUUGAGUACGCACAAAGUGGGCGGAAUUCGUGGUGUAGCGGUGAAAUGCUUAGAUAUCACGAAGAACUCCGAUUGCGAAGGCAGCUCACUGGAGCGCAACUGACGCUGAAGCUCGAAAGUGCGGGUAUCGAACAGGAUUAGAUACCCUGGUAGUCCGCACGGUAAACGAUGGAUGCCCGCUGUUGGUCUGAAUAGGUCAGCGGCCAAGCGAAAGCAUUAAGCAUCCCACCUGGG
Molecule: ribosomal RNA, 833 nt
Filed under: uncultured bacterium
Lineage: Bacteria
Description: bacterial SSU rRNA
Rfam family: Bacterial small subunit ribosomal RNA
Source: RNAcentral